RNAcentral lists this ribosomal RNA (427 nucleotides) under uncultured prokaryote. RNAcentral's name for it is "bacterial SSU rRNA". It matches the Rfam family "Bacterial small subunit ribosomal RNA", at positions 355 to 774 of the family's 1533-position model. The record is from RNAcentral.
UAGGGAAUAUUAGAAAUGGACGAAAGUCUGACGGAGCAACGCCGCGUGAGUGAUGAAGGUCUUCGGAUCGUAAAGCUCUGUUGUUAGGGAAGAACAAGUACCGUUCGAAUAGGGCGGUACCUUGACGGUACCUAACCAGAAAGCCACGGCUAACUACGUGCCAGCAGCCGCGGUAAUACGUAGGUGGCAAGCGUUGUCCGGAAUUAUUGGGCGUAAAGGGCUCGCAGGCGGUUUCUUAAGUCUGAUGUGAAAGCCCCCGGCUCAACCGGGGAGGGUCAUUGGAAACUGGGGAACUUGAAUGCAGAAGAGGAGAGUGGAAUUCCACGUGUAGCGGUGAAAUGCGUAGAGAUGUGGAGGAACACCAGUGGCGAAGGCGACUCUCUGGUCUGUAACUGACGCUGAGACGCGAAAGCGUGGGGAGCAAACA